Molecule: non-coding RNA, 46 nt
Organism: Anopheles arabiensis
Lineage: Eukaryota; Metazoa; Arthropoda; Insecta; Diptera; Culicidae
Source: Rfam
CCAUCGGCUCUUUUCAGAGCCACCGAUUCAAUUGCUUAAGAACUUU